RNAcentral lists this unclassified non-coding RNA (267 nucleotides) under Hevea brasiliensis (rubber tree). The record is from RNAcentral. Lineage: Eukaryota; Viridiplantae; Streptophyta; Magnoliopsida; Malpighiales; Euphorbiaceae.
GAGCGCCCGCAAAUUCUGCUGUUCAAGCAGCUAAACCCUCGCGGCCCCAAAUCUCGGGACUCCGGGAUUUCUAGGGCUCCGAUCAUCCGCCAUGGAUCUGCCCAGCCUCGCCGUGAUCCUCCGCGCCGCGCUCAGCCACAACCCGGAGGAGCGGAAGGCCGCCGAGGAGAGCCUCAAUCAGUUCCAGUACAAGCCGCAGCAUCUGGUGAGGCUGCUGCAGAUCAUAGUGGAUGGGAGCUGUGAUUUGGCGGUGAGGCAGGUUGCGAG